AUCCUCAGGAUCCAUCCCAUCUGGGAUUGAGACCAAAUUAACACAUGAGCCUGUAGGAUCGCUUCUGCCACCCAUUGCACUAAGCACUCUCCUGAGGUUAAAGUCUGUAUUGACAAAAGUGACUUUGGAUCCAAGGUUGGCUAUUCUCCGAGCAAAGUGCAUUAAGGGGUUAACAUGUCCUUGGGCUGGAAAUGGUAGCAGUAGAACAUGUGAAUUUCGCAUUUUCCUUUUUGCGGUUUGAGAAACAGAGCAGAGAAAAUGCGGAAUCUUAUCUUCCUCCGUUGGCAACGAGCAAAGGAGUGGCUAAUAAUUUAUUGGCUGCAAGGGCAAAGGAUUAAACAGAAAUUGUAGAAUAUAACGGUAAUACCGACCUGGAUUUCCUGGUUGGUCUAUUAAUAAAUUAUUUGUAUUUUGACACGUAUAUUAAAAAAAUAAAAAAAUAUAUUAAUUUUUAUUAUAUUUUAUUUUUCUCUUUCUUAUUAAUAAAUCACUACUAUAUUAGAAAUCUAAAGGGCCACUGUUAUUUAUAACUUAAAAUAAGUAAUAGUAAUUAAAUUGUUUUGUUUUUAAAAACAUUGGGAUUGGGAUUGGGAUUCAGAUUGAUUUAUAUGUACUUACCACCGAAUUAAAUCUGUGAGUUAUAUAACCAAUAAUUUUAUUAUAAUCAUUAAUUAUAAUGAAUUAUAAAUACUAUAAUUAAUAUCUAACUAUAUGUUUUAUGUUUUACAUAUAAUAUAAUAAUUUUUCAUAAUUCAAUUAAUGGGAAGAGGAGAAGAAACCUCCCAUUAAAACCGAAACACACCUAUUAAAAAUCUAAUAAAAUAAAAUAAGAAUUAGGUUUCUUAAAACAGAACAUACACCAAUUAAAAAUCUAACAAAAUAAAAUAAGAAUCAGAUCUUUUAAAACAGAACACACCGAUCAAAAAUCUAAUAAAAUAAAAUAAGAAUCAGAUCUGUUGAUAAGUAUUUUCACAAGCACAUGAAAUCGUUUAAAUAAUAAAGUGAUGAGUAGAGUUGUCAAAUAAUUGAUUUUUAAAUAUAAAAAAUAUAUGUAAUUCUAAUGUUAUUUAAGUUAUCAAAUUAAAUUUUGAAUUAAGGAGAGAACUCUAAUCUAAUUCUUGAAAAUGGCACAAUUUAAUGAUAAAGAUGGAUACAGGCUUUUUCUUCAACAAGGGAAAUAAAGCAGAUAAAUAUAUUAUAAUUAAUAUUUAUUAUUUAUAGUUAUUUCCCACGAGUUUUCAUAUUUUAAUAAAAUCAAAUAAUUUUUUUAAAUUUCCAUACUAUUAAAUCUAUCUUUCUCAACAUAGAUAACUAAUAAUCAUUCAUUAAAAUGGCUACUAUAUUAUAGGAGAGCUAAUAAAAUAUAAAUAUAAAAUACAAAUAAGAGCUAAAUUUACAUAAUUAGAGAGCUAAAUAAAAUUAAAAUAAGAAUAAAUUUGAGAGAAUAAAAAAAUUAAAAGGAAAAAUGUAUAUAAAAAAUGAAAAAUGCCCUUUGAGACAUCAUGCUGUAAAGGUGAGCGGUGGGUAAAUUUUCCAUUGAGGUAUGAGUUUGUUGCUUCAAUAACAUCAGUUUAUUUGAGGGAUAUAGAGAUGAAAAACAAAAAGAACAAGAGAAAACUUGAAAUGAACACCAAAGGAAAUGAGAAGUUAAAUGUGUUGGAAGGUUUUUUUUUCCUUUUUUUUCUAUAUUAUAUCAAUCUCAUUUACAAAAUUGAAUAUAAAUAUACAGAGUAUAUGAGAGACAUUAAAAAAACUAUUUUAGCUAUAAACAAAAUCUAAGGCUAAGAAUGUGUUGUGUUCUAUGAAAAAAAGGAUUUUAAUCUGCUCUUAUAAUUUCUCCACUAAAAACUGAUUUGACAGCUUAUACCAACACUCUUCCUCAAGUUGAUACAUAAUGUUUUGGAUGUCCAACUUGUCAAGUAAGUUGUAAAAAGUUUUACUCAGAUACAGUUUUUGUGAUGAUAUCUGCUAGUUGGUCUUCAGAUUUAAUAAAAGAGAAACAAAUUAUUUUUUUCUUCAAGAUUCUUCUUGAUGAAGUGUCAACCCCCUCUACAUAUUUGGUAUGAUCAUGUUAAACAGGAUUCGACCCACCUCUAUAUGUUUGGUGUGAUCAUGUUGAACAGGAUUGUAAGAGAUAUCAAUUGUUGUCUUGUUGUCACAAAAGAAAUUUAUCUCAGAGUCAGUAGCAAAACCAAUCUCAGUCAAUAAUCUUUUUAGCCAUAGAAGUUCACAAAGGCCUUUUGCCAUUUCUUGAAACUCAGCUUCAGCACUAGAUAAUGCUACUAUCUUCUAUUUCUUACUUCUUCAAGUAACCAGAUUGCUUUCUACAAAAUUAAAAUAGGUUGAAUGGACUUUCUAUUAGAAGUAUUCCUGUCCAAUCUGCAUCCGUAUAACCAUCAAUACUCAUAUGAUUAUUCUUUGCGAACAUAAUUCCUUUUCUGAGAGAGACUUUAGAUAGGAAAGAAUUUGAAUCACUGCAUCCAUAUGACUUUUACUUGGGUAAUGCAUUAAUUGGCUUACUACGCUCACAAAGAACAUUUCUUUCGUAUAUUGAUUUUUCUAAAAAAAUAAAAUAAAAAAUUCUUGGAUUCUCAUAAUUCUGUGGCGGUAAACAUUUUUGGUAAGUGGUCCUUUGAUUUGUUUACUCCAAAAGAUAUAGCUAAAAAAUGUAGGAUGCGGUCGCUGAUGAACCCUGAUAAGGCUCUCACCGAAGGCUUUGAAGCUAUAGCUUCAAUAGCAGAUGGUCUAAGCAUCACUCUGGUUGAACGAAAAUCUCUGAGAGGCAGGAGCCUAAACGUUGUAUUGGCUGCUUGCUUGUUCAUUGCCUGCAGAGAGUAAAUCUCCGAGGACGUUAAGGGAGAUAAGUAGGGCCACAGCUGGGGUUUCAGGGAAGGAAAAUAAAAUAGAAGAACAGGGGCUAUAAAGAAGCAUGUGGAGAUUGAUACUGGGACUUUGCAUGCUAGUGAACUUGUUAGACGGUUCUGUUCUAAUCAUGGCAUGAAAAAUCAAGCAAUGAAGUCUGUUAAGAAGCUCUUGAAAACUCCAAAGAUAUUGAUGAGGAACCAAAAUCCACCUUGGUCUUGGCAGCCAUUAUUCAUAUAAUCGCUCAGCUUUCAACCACUUGCAUUGCAUAUCACUGAUUUUAGAAAAGGACACAGAAAAUUGACCAAUCAUAAUCUUUCUUCAAUCAUUACAAAUGGAACUUCCCUUGAAUUGGGAUUUCUUUUGUGUUCUUUAUGGAUUUAACUUAAGGUAGUAAGGAUUUGCAGACAUUGCAAUGGUUGUUGAACUUGAAGUUGCAGAAGAAACAAUCAAGAAGGCAUAUAAAGAUAUGAAUGCUUCAAAGCUCAUAGACAGUUGGUACCCUAAGGAGGUGAACAUCCAAAGAAAAGGCUUGCUUGUCAGUUUAAGUCCAAGUGCCAAUUCUUGAAGUUGAGAUUGGUCAAAAAUGGUGAAACUGCCAAAUGCUACAUAUAUCGCUGACCGGGAAGGCUUUUGAUCACGCCAUUUUAGGCACGAGGAGUCCUCCGGCCAGAACUGUGCUCCUGAAUUCCCUGUAUCGUAGUAAUAAUGGGCCAAUUGGGAGGAGCUUUGGAACCGAAGAAAAUACUUCAGCCUCAAGUUCAUGAAAUGAGUUGCAUAGCUGCCAUUCUAUCAAUUGUGAAUCUUCCAUUGCUCCUUCAACAUAUUUGAAAAGGCCCUUUGUGUGUACGAGUUGCCAACUUUCCAUGUCAAGUUAUCAGUGUAAAAAAUAGGGCCGCUGGGGACAUUUGAAUCAUUUGAUUCUUGAUUGAAUAUCCUGUAAAUGAAUCAAAAGGAAAAUGCAUGCAGAGUACGAGUAGUAACUUUACGUGGAAUAUCAACAACAUCAAGACUUUCUUGUGAUUAAAGAAUAAUAAUAACAAUAAAAGCAAGGGAAGAACUUACCGUCACUGUCGAUAUAUCCAUCUCGAAUAAGAUUAGGAAUGCUGGCUAAUUGGCGAAAAGUGGCAGCUGAUGCAGGCCAGAACAUUGCAACUCGGAUCCCCAAUUUGUCAGCAACUUCUCUUGCCCACCCCAUACAUCCAUCAACUACAAUACAAGUGAUGGGAUGAUUCUUGUUGAUGUCUUCUAUGAGAUCCUGAAUCUUUUUGGGCAUGGUGAUCACCAUGGCCUCGCAUAACUUACCCAAGUCAGUUCUAUCAUCCUCAGGAUCCAUCCCAUCUGGGAUUGAGACCAAAUUAACACAUGAGCCUGUAGGAUCGCUUCUGCCAGCCAUUGCACUAAGCACUCUCCUGAGGUUAAAGUCUGUAUUGACAAAAGUGACUUUGGAUCCAAGGUUGGCUAUUCUCCGAGCAAAGUGCAUGAAGGGGUUAACAUGUCCUUGGGCUGGAAAUGUUAGCACUAGAACAUGUGAAUUUCGCAUUUUCCUUUUUGCGAUUUGAGAAACAGAACAGAGAAAAUGCGGAAUCUUAUCUUCCUCCGUUGGCAAAGAGGCAAAGGAGUGGUUAACAAUUUAUUGGCUCAGAGAGCCCAUCCUCAUUUUUGUAAGUUGCUUAUAACUAAUGAACAUAUAAUGCAGCCUAAAGUUAUAAAUUGGCCUCUCAAAUCAUAAAUCUUAUCUUCUUUUAAUCACAAAAAUAAACCUUUCUGGUAUAAAAUUUCUGUUGAUUUUUUCAUUCAAAAGGAAAAUUAGAAAAGUAAAGUGUUUUUAUUAGUAAACAGAAUCGGAAAUUUAAAUUUUCAUUCAUUAGGCAAAAUUAAAUCCCAUCUGGGAUUGACACCAAAUUAACACAUGAGCCAGCAAGAUCGUUUUUGCCACGCAUUGCACUAAGCACUCUCUUGUGGUUUAAGUCUGUAUUAACAAACGUGACUCGGGAUCCCAGGCUGGCUAUUCUUUGAGCAAAGUGCAUUAAGGGUUAACAUGGCCUUGGACGGGAAAUGGAAGCAUUAGAACAUGUGAUCUUCUUUCUUUUUUUUUUUUUUUUUUNNNNNNNNNNNNNNNNNNNNNNNNNNNNNNNNNNNNNNNNNNNNNNNNNNNNNNNNNNNNAUUAGAGCAAAAGACAAAAGAUGCAACUAUGUGGUAUGUCUACCAUCAGUGCUGUUCGGUGCACAAAUUCAAUACACUGAAAAACAGAAAAGAGAAGGAUUGAAAAAAAAAAAAAGUGGACAAUUGAAUUAUUGAAUGUAUGGGUUCCACUCAUUCCAAUGCAAAUCAAUCAUUUCAGUGCAAAUCAAUCAUUUGUGUACAAUAGCAUUAUUCAUUACUCUAUUAAUUACUUAAAUUAUUACAAAAUAUUUUUUUAAUUAAAUUACUUGUGGAUUUAACAUAUCUAUGAUAAAGUUGUUUUUCAUUACAAUUUUUAGAAAACACAUAUAGAGAUUAUUCAAUGAGAUUAAUUUUAAAGCCCUUAUAUUUAUCCGAUAGAUAAAAAAUAUCGGUUAAUUAUUUAUUAGUACUGAAAGUAAAAUCAAAAUAAAAUUCACUCAAACAUAGCAUAGCAACAAAUAUUACAUAAUUCAAAUGCCAAUUCAAUAGUCUACGAGAACUAAACCAAUAAUCCCUGAAAGGUGGCAUCUUCCCCAACCUAUGCCUCCACCCACUUAAUGAAGUUGCUAAAAUUUGUCGAGGACUGACCACCUUCUCUAAUAUUAUCUUCAGCAAAUUGCUUCAGCUCCAAGGCCUUUUUUAUUGUAAUUUUAUCCCCAAGCAACAGCUCCACCUUUUGUUUAAAUUCCUCCUUUGUUAUGAUUCCCUUUUCGUCCUUGUCUAACCCCAAACCAAUCUUCCAUACAUCACAAAUGUAGCUUUUGUUAACAAACUGGUCGGUGAAGUAAGGCCAACACAAGAAAGGUACUCCAUUGCUCACGCCUUCUAUGGCAGAGUUCCAACCACAAUGGCUCACAAAACAAGCAAUAGCAGGAUGGCUUAGUACCUUCUGCUGAGGAGCCCAACUGAUAAUUUUUCCAUGGCUGUCUUCAAAUUCAUUUGGGUUCGAUUCUUGGGUACUGUUUCCUGGACGAACCACCCAAAGGAAAGGUUUGUUUGUCAGUUUAAGUCCAAGUGCCAAUUCUUGAAGUUGAGAUUGGUCAAAAAUGGUCAAACUGCCAAAUGCUACAUAUAUCACUGACUGGGAAGGCUGCCGAUCAAGCCAUUUUAGGCACGAGGAGUCCUCCGGCCAGAACUGUGCUCCUGAAUUCCCUGUAUCGUAGCCUGCUAAUAAUGGGCCAAUUGGGAGGAGCUUUGGAACCAAAGAAAAUACCUCAGCCUCAAGUUCAUGAAUUGAGUUGCAUAGCUGCCAUUCAAUCAAUUGUGAAUCUUCCAUUACUCUUUCAAUAUAUUUGAAAAAAGCCUUUUGUGAGUAGGCGUUGCCAACUUUCCAUGCCAAGUUAUCAGAGUCAAAAAUAGGGCCGCUUGGGGAUAUUUGAAUCUUGUGUUUCUUGAUUGCAAAUCCUGUAAAUGAAUCAAAAGGAAAAUGCAUGCAGAGUAUUAGUAGUGAAUUUACGUGGAAUAUCAACAACGCCAAGAAUUUCUUGAGAUUAAAGAAUAAUAAUAACAAUAAAAUCAAGGGAAGCACUUACCAUCACUGUCGAUAUAUCCAUCUCGAUUAAGAUUAGAAAUGUUGGCUAACUGGCAAAAAAUGGCAGCUGAUGCAGGCCAGAACAUUGCAACUCGGAUCCCCAAUUUGUCAGCAACUUCUCUUGCCCACCCCAUAGUUCCAUCAACUAUAAUACAAGUGAAGGGAUGAUUCUUGUUGAUGUCUUCUAUGAGAUCCUGAAACUUUUUGCGCAUGGUGAUCAACAUGGCCUCGCAUAACUUACCAAUGUCAGUUCUAUCAUCCUCAGGAUCCAUCCCAUCUGGGAUUGAUACCAAAUUAACAUCUGAACCUGUAGGUUCGUUUCUGCCAGCCAUUGCACUAAGCACUCUCUUGUGGUUAAAGUCUGUAUUGACAAAAGUGACUUUGGAUCCAAGGUUGGCUAUUCUCCAAGCAAAGUGCAUUAAGGGGUUAACAUGUCCUUGGGCUGGAAAUGGUAGCACUAGAACAUGUGAAUUUUCCAUUUUCCUUUUGCGAUUUGAGA
RNAcentral lists this long non-coding RNA (7059 nucleotides) under Manihot esculenta (cassava). RNAcentral describes it as "long non-coding RNA (MESC_LNC000501)". Lineage: Eukaryota; Viridiplantae; Streptophyta; Magnoliopsida; Malpighiales; Euphorbiaceae. The record is from RNAcentral.